CCGAGAAUAUUCGACAAUGGGCGAAAGCCUGAUCGAGCGAUACCGCGUGGUGGAUGAAGUGCUUCGGCACGUAAACACCUUUUAUGGAGGAGGAAGUUAUUGACGUUACUCCAUGAAUAAGGGGCUCCUAACUCUGUGCCAGCAGGAGCGGUAAUACAGAGGCCCCGAGCGUUACCCGGAAUUACUGGGCGUAAAGAGUGCGUAGGUGGUCGUAUUAGUCGUCUGUCAAAACCUGGGGCUCAACCCCAGAUCCGCAGGCGAAACGGUACGACUCGAGAGCGUGAGAGGUGAAUGGAACUCAUGGUGUAGGGGUGAAAUCCGUUGAUAUCAUGGGGAACACCGAAAGCGAAGGCAAUUCACUGGCGCGUUUCUGACACUCAAGCACGAAAGCGUGGGUAGCGAACGGGAUUAGAUACCCCCGUAGUCC
RNAcentral lists this ribosomal RNA (427 nucleotides) under uncultured bacterium. RNAcentral's name for it is "bacterial SSU rRNA". It matches the Rfam family "Bacterial small subunit ribosomal RNA", at positions 355 to 796 of the family's 1533-position model. The record is from RNAcentral.